CUUUUUAUUAAAAUUAAUAAAUUAAUAUAAAAUA
RNAcentral lists this transfer RNA (34 nucleotides) under Apis mellifera (honey bee). RNAcentral describes it as "partial tRNA-Leu". The record is from RNAcentral. Lineage: Eukaryota; Metazoa; Arthropoda; Insecta; Hymenoptera; Apidae.